AAAAUAUUUUUUUUAUUCUCUUCUGUUUCUUGUAAACUGUACUUCCCCACUCUGCACAAACCAUUUUUAAAGCAAAACCUAAUGAAAUUAGUUGCUGAGACAGAAAAACUCUAAAGCAGGCUCCAACUGUGACUCAUGCACAGGGGCAUAUGUUCUUCAUUAGUGCUCCUAAGUCAUCUUUAAAGUUAGCACAAAUUGACAACAGUGAUGAUGACUAAAAUUAAAAAUUGUACUACAAAAUUAAUGUUAGAAUAGAAGAAAAUAAUUUAAGACACUGACUCUUUUGUCAGGCUGGCUGUAGGCGAAAGUCAGCUAAGAAACCAACAUUUUAGACAGUCUUUUAAAAGUGACGUCACUAUAAAACUCCAUUGUUUUGUCUUGAGAUUCUUAAAUAAUGCCACAAGAAUGACAAAUUAAAAUGCUGCAGAAUUAAUGGACUUCUACCUGCAGGACAUUCUUCCCUCUCUUCUCUUCACUCCUUAGAAUAAAGGGCCACAAUUUUGCUUGGUGUAUGAAAAUACUGAAGGCAGUGGCCAAAUUACAUAUUUCAUUCCCAUUUAUCUCAAGAGCUGACAGAAACCUCUGAAAAGGAAAAACAUAAAACUUGCUCUUUCUGCCUUUUUUUCCUUAAUAACUUGCUAGUGAUUAGUAAAAGAGAAACCCCAUUUUCAUGAAGAAAAUAAUUUCAUAAAGCAACAGAAAUUUUAUAAUAUGUAUUUCCAUAUAUCUCUAUUCCCCUUUCCCCUGUACUGCUGGAUGGGAGGAGGUAGAGAAUUCAGGAGUGAAGUUGAGCCCAGGAAGAAGAAAAGGGAGAAGUUAUUUAAAGAUUUAGUUUUUCACAUUAUCUGACUCUGAUUUUUCAUUGAUAACAAAUUCAAUUCACUUCCUCAAGCCAAGUCCUGUUUGCCCAUGACAGUAUCUGGUGACUGAUCUCUCCCUGCUCUUAUCUUGAGCCACAAGCCUUUCACUGUAUUUUCUCUCCCCUGGCCAGCUGCUUGGUGGGCAGCUGGCAUCCAGUCAGCAUCAACUCACCUCAAACAUACAAUAAAGUAUUGAUGCUUUGCUUGAAAUCCUUUAGCCUGGAGAAGAGAAGGCUCCAGAGAGACAUUAUUAGGUCUUAAAAUUUUUAAAGAGGGGUUAUUAAAUAGGUGAAAUUAGUUUUUUAUCAGAGCCUGUAGCAAAAGGACAAGGUGUAACAGUUUUAAACUGAAAGAGGGUAGAUUUUAAUUAGGUAUAAGGAAUAAAUUUUUCACUGUGGGGGUGGUGAGGCACUGGAAAAGGUUGUCCAGAGAAGUUGUGGGUGUCACAUCUCUGGGAGUAUUCAAGACCUGUCUGAAUGGGGCUUUAAGCAACCUAGUCAAGUAAAAUUGUCCCUACCCACAGCAGGGAGGGUGGACUAAGUGAUCUUUAUUGGUCCUUUCUAACAUGAACCAAUCUAUGUAUCUAUGAAAUAGCCAAAAUAUUCUCACAGAAUUAAAAUAAAACAUGAAUUUAUCUUUAUUCAGGAACAAAGUCAUAGCACUAAUGAAGGCAAUGUCCAUCCAGGAAGGGCAACAUAGAAAACCAUUGUCUUCUGAUUUAAGAACUGGUCUUCAGAGGAUAAUCCAUUCUUCCACCUGUCUGUAGAGCAUCAAACAGACAAGUGUAAUUACAUCUAAAGCCAGUGGUACAACCCACAAGCAAAAAAAAAAAAAAAAUUAAUUUAAUCAUUGAGAGGUAUAUCUUUGGAGCAGCUUAGGAGUGCCUUCUCAAUUUUUGCUACAUUUUAUAUCAAAUUUACCUUAAAUGGGCAUUAGACAAACUAUGUAAUCCUCCUCUUGAUUACCACAGUUGAUAUUCCAUGGUUUUGCCUAAAAGCUUCCUGUGGGCUCAGACUCUCAGCAGCCAGCCUAGAUUCCACAGUUUCUAAGAGAUCCGACAGUACACCAUUAUAAUGAAGGUGCAAGGUGCCCUGCACGCUCAACAGCAGCCUAUUUCUUCCUUGAGGCUGCUGUUAAGAGGAAGCAGUGAUUUGCUUCCAGCUGAAGAAAUACUUAAUUACAUCUUUUAUAAAUUAUAUAAAGAAUCCAAAACUUUCCUGUAAUUAUUGUUAUUUGUUCAGCUCACACAUUCACAAUAGCAUCAGCACAAGGAUUUCAGGUGAGGUUUCUUGUUAAAAAACAACUCAAACACUGCUCUCCAUGUCUUUUGGCACUAAAAUGACCUGAUUUUUGUGCUUCAAAUUUAUGAAAAAUCAGGAUGCUAAUUUGCAUUUACAAGUAGCAAUAAUAGAUGUCCAUUUCCUCAUUUCCAUGCAGACAUAGAUUCUAAUUUGUGUCGUACAAAGAACACCAGGAACUGAGAUUACAAGAUUACUGUUAAUCCUACUUGAUAUUAGAUCUUGCUUCCUCCAGAAGCAUUAUUACUCUGGCAAUAAGUGGAUUGCAAAAGUGGAUUUAUUAUUAGCCCCUUAAUUACCCUGCAGAUGUUUUACACUUGUUGCUCUUCAGACAGAUGUUCCUGAAAUUAAUGGUUUUCAAUGUCUUUAAAAACAUAGUUUAGCAAUUAGAAUACAGCAUAUAAUUACUCUUUUUUAUAAAAAUAGAUAUUAGAGUGCUUUAUUAAAUAGACUAUGACUCCAAAGGAAAACACUCAUAGUCAAAGGACUGAGAUGUUAAUUAUGUAAAUUAAACUAUUCAAGGGCUGUUACAGGAGAACGUGUAAGAUUUGUAGCACACCUGAAGGAUGGUUGAUGCCAUUGAGAGGAAUCUGGACCAGCUUGAGAAGUGGGCCCAUGAGAAAAUCAUGAAGGUCAAGGCCCAGUGCAAAGUCCUGCCCCUGGGUCAGGAUAACCACCAGUAUCAAUACAGACUGGGAGAUGAACAAAUUGAGAGCAGCCCUGACAAGGACUUGGGGAUUCUGCUGGGUGAGAGGCUAGGCAUGAGCCAGCAAGGUGUGCUAGGAGCCCAGAAAGCAAAUAGGAUGCUGGGCUGCACUCAAAGCAGCGUGGCCAGCAGGGUGAGGGAGGGGAUUCUGCCCCUCUGCUCUGCUCUGGUGUGACGUCACCUGCAGUGCUGCAUCCAGCCCUGAGGUCCCCAGAACAGGAAGGACAACGACCUGUUGGAGCAAGUCCAGGAGAGGGCCACCAAGCUGACCACAGGGAUGGAGCAUCCCUCUUAUGAGGAAAGGCUGAGAGAAUUGGGAUUGUUCAGCCUGGAAAAGAGGCUUUGGUGUGCCCUUAGAGCAGCCUUCCAGUACCCAAAAGGAGCCUACAAGAAAGAUGGAGAGGGACUUUUUACAAGGGCAUGUAGGGACAGGACAAGGGGGUAUGCCUUCAAACUGAGAGUAGAUUUGAAUUAGGUAUUAGGAAGGUAUUCUUUACUUUGAGGGUGAGACAUUGGAACAGGCUGACCAAAGCAUU
Long non-coding RNA from Taeniopygia guttata (zebra finch), 3400 nucleotides. The record is from Ensembl. Lineage: Eukaryota; Metazoa; Chordata; Aves; Passeriformes; Estrildidae.